Molecule: ribosomal RNA, 544 nt
Filed under: uncultured Glomeromycotina
Lineage: Eukaryota; Fungi; Glomeromycota
Description: SSU rRNA
Rfam family: Eukaryotic small subunit ribosomal RNA
Source: RNAcentral
UUGGAGGGCAAGUCUGGUGCCAGCAGCCGCGGUAAUUCCAGCUCCAAUAGCGUAUAUUAAAGUUGUUGCAGUUAAAAAGCUCGUAGUUGAAUUUCGGGGUUCUACCGUUGGUCGGGCUUUGUCUGUACUGGUGUGUAGAAUUUCUACCUUCUGGGGAACCAUCAUGCUAUUAAUUUAGCGUGGUGGGAAACCAGGACCUUUACCUUGAAAAAAUUAGUGUGUUCAAAGCAGGCUUAUGUCUGAAUACAUUAGCGUGGAAUAAUAGAAUAGGACGGUGGUCCUGUUUUGUUGGUUUCUGAAUCACCGUAAUGAUUAAUAGGGAUAGUUGGGGGCAUUAGUAUUCAAUUGUCAGAGGUGAAAUUCUUGGUUUUAUUGAGGACUAACUUCUGCGAAAGCAUUUGCCAAGGAUGUUUUCAUUAAUCAAGAACGAAAGUUAGGGGAUCGAAGACGAUCAGAUACCGUCGUAGUCUUAACCAUAAACUAUGCCGACUAGGGAUCGGACGAUGUUAAUUUUUCUUGACUCGUUCGGCGCCUUACGGGAAAC